RNAcentral lists this ribosomal RNA (468 nucleotides) under uncultured bacterium. RNAcentral's name for it is "partial 16S ribosomal RNA". It matches the Rfam family "Bacterial small subunit ribosomal RNA", at positions 28 to 507 of the family's 1533-position model. The record is from RNAcentral.
GACGAACGCUGGCGGCGUGCUUAACACAUGCAAGUCGAACGGAAAGGCCCUGCUUUUGUGGGGUGCUCGAGUGGCGAACGGGUGAGUAACACGUGAGUAACCUGCCCUUGACUUUGGGAUAACUUCAGGAAACUGGGGCUAAUACCGGAUAGGAGCUCCUGCUGCAUGGUGGGGGUUGGAAAGUUUCGGCGGUUGGGGAUGGACUCGCGGCUUAUCAGCUUGUUGGUGGGGUAGUGGCUUACCAAGGCUUUGACGGGUCGCCGGCCUGAGAGGGUGACCGGCCACAUUGGGACUGAGAGACGGCCCAGACUCCUACGGGAGGCAGCAGUGGGGAAUAUGGCACAAUGGGCGGAAGCCUGAGGCAGCAACGCCGCGUGCGGGAUGACGGCCUGCGGGGUGUAAACCGCUUUCGCCUGUGACGAAGCGGGAGUGACGGUAAUGGGUAAAGAAGCACCGGCUAACUACGUG